UGGGGAAUAUUGCACAAUGGGGGAAACCCUGAUGCAGCGACGCCGCGUGAGCGAAGAAGGUUUUCGAAUCGUAAAGCUCUGUCCUAUGAGAAGAUAAUGACGGUAUCAUAGGAGGAAGCCCCGGCUAAAUACGUGCCAGCAGCCGCGGUAAUACGUAUGGGGCGAGCGUUAUCCGGAAUUAUUGGGCGUAAAGAGCUUGUAGGCGGUUCGUCGCGUCUGGUGUGAAAGCCCAUCGCUUAACGGUGGGUUUGCGCCGGGUACGGGCGGGCUAGAGUGCAGUAGGGGAGACUGGAAUUCCCGGUGUAACGGUGGAAUGUGUAGAUAUCGGGAAGAACACCAAUGGCGAAGGCAGGUCUCUGGGCUGUUACUGACGCUGAGAAGCGAAAGCGUGGGGAGCGAACAGG
RNAcentral lists this ribosomal RNA (404 nucleotides) under Verrucomicrobiota bacterium. RNAcentral describes it as "Verrucomicrobia bacterium partial 16S ribosomal RNA". It matches the Rfam family "Bacterial small subunit ribosomal RNA", at positions 355 to 776 of the family's 1533-position model. Lineage: Bacteria; Pseudomonadati; Verrucomicrobiota. The record is from RNAcentral.